CCUACGGGAGGCAGCAGUAGGGAAUCUUCCGCAAUGGACGAAAGUCUGACGGAGCAACGCCGCGUGAACGAUGAAGGCCUUCGGGUCGUAAAGUUCUGUUGUUAGGGAAGAACAAGUGCUAGUUAAAUAAGCUGGCACCUUGACGGUACCUAACCAGAAAGCCACGGCUAACUACGUGCCAGCAGCCGCGGUAAUACGUAGGUGGCAAGCGUUGUCCGGAAUUAUUGGGCGUAAAGCGCGCGCAGGCGGUUUCUUAAGUCUGAUGUGAAAGCCCCCGGCUCAACCGGGGAGGGUCAUUGGAAACUGGGAAACUUGAGUGCAGAAGAGGAAAGUGGAAUUCCAAGUGUAGCGGUGAAAUGCGUAGAGAUUUGGAGGAACACCAGUGGCGAAGGCGACUUUCUGGUCUGUAACUGACGCUGAGGCGCGAAAGCGUGGGGAGCAAACAGGAUUAGAUACCCUGGUAGUCCACGCUGUAAACGAUGAGUGCUAAGUGUUAGAGGGUUUCCGCCCUUUAGUGCUGAAGUUAACGCAUUAAGCACUCCGCCUGGGGAGUACGGUCGCAAGACUGAAACUCAAAAGUGAAGUUGGACGCGUAGAGAGUCGACCGAAGGCACGACGGAGGGUAGAGG
Molecule: ribosomal RNA, 629 nt
Filed under: uncultured bacterium
Lineage: Bacteria
Description: bacterial SSU rRNA
Rfam family: Bacterial small subunit ribosomal RNA
Source: RNAcentral